Molecule: ribosomal RNA, 505 nt
Filed under: uncultured bacterium
Lineage: Bacteria
Description: bacterial SSU rRNA
Rfam family: Bacterial small subunit ribosomal RNA
Source: RNAcentral
CUACGUGCCAGCAGCCGCGGUAAUACGUAGGUGGCAAGCGUUGUCCGGAAUUAUUGGGCGUAAAGCGCGCGCAGGCGGAUUGGUCAGUCUGUCUUAAAAGUUCGGGGCUUAACCCUGUGAUGGGAUGGAAACUGCCAAUCUAGAGUAUCGGAGAGGAAAGUGGAAUUCCUAGUGUAGCGGUGAAAUGCGUAGAUAUUAGGAAGAACACCAGUGGCGAAGGCGACUUUCUGGACGAAAACUGACGCUGAGGCGCGAAAGCCAGGGGAGCGAACGGGAUUAGAUACCCCGGUAGUCCUGGCCGUAAACGAUGGGUACUAGGUGUAGGAGGUAUCGACCCCUUCUGUGCCGGAGUUAACGCAAUAAGUACCCCGCCUGGGGAGUACGACCGCAAGGUUGAAACUCAAAGGAAUUGACGGGGGCCCGCACAAGCGGUGGAGUAUGUGGUUUAAUUCGAAGCAACGCGAAGAACCUUACCAGGUCUUGACAUCCCUCUGACCGCUCUAGA